Molecule: ribosomal RNA, 465 nt
Filed under: uncultured bacterium
Lineage: Bacteria
Description: partial 16S ribosomal RNA
Rfam family: Bacterial small subunit ribosomal RNA
Source: RNAcentral
GACGAACGCUGGCGGCGUGCUUAACACAUGCAAGUCGAACGGAAAGGCCCCUUUGGGGUUACUCGAGUGGCGAACGGGUGAGUAACACUUGAGUAACCUGCCCUUGACUUCGGGAUAACUUCAGGAAACUGGGGCUAAUACCGGAUAGGAAUCCUUGCUGCAUGGUGGGGGUUGGAAAGUUUCGGCGGUUUUGGAUGGACUCACGGCUUAUCAGCUUGUGGGUGGGGUAGUGGCUUACCAAGGCUUUGACGGGUAGCCGGCCUGAGAGGGCGACCGGCCACAUUGGGACUGAGAUACGGCCCAGACUCCUACGGGAGGCAGCAGUGGGGAAUAUUGCACAAUGGGCGGAAGCCUGAUGCAGCAACGCCGCGUGCGGGAUGACGGGCUUCGGGUUGUAAACCGCUUUCAGCAGGGGAGAAGCUUGUGGUGACGGUACCUGCAGAAGAAGCACCGGCUAACUACGUG